GGAUAUGAGGGCGAUCUGGCUGCGACAUCUGUCACCCCCUUGAUCACCAGAGUUGAUCUGGCUGGCUAGCUGGUGUCCUCUUCCUCCCUCACCACUCUAGUGUAUUCCUUUCAAAGCUGUGCACUCGGUUGGUCAGAGAGGAUGACCAUCCCGAUGGAGGAGGACCCUGUUUCCUCAAGGGUAUACAAGUAGUUGCACUCCCCUGCUAGGACCUCCGAACAGGCUCUCAAGAUAAAUAUAGAAACUACACAGAUCAUGAUGGUACAGCUUGAUGAUCUGUCAUGUAAAUUCACUCA
This 296-nucleotide small nuclear RNA is filed under the name Chinchilla lanigera (long-tailed chinchilla). RNAcentral describes it as "7SK RNA (ENSCLAG00000022183.1)". It matches the Rfam family "7SK RNA". Rfam says of the family: 7SK was discovered as an abundant small nuclear RNA in the mid-70s but a possible function has only recently been suggested. The record is from Rfam by way of RNAcentral. Lineage: Eukaryota; Metazoa; Chordata; Mammalia; Rodentia; Chinchillidae.